GAUGAACGCUGACAGAAUGCUUAACACAUGCAAGUCGAUUUCGAUUUACCUUCGGGUAUUGAGGAUGGCGGACGGGUGAGUAACGCGUAAGGAACUUGCCUCUUGGACUGGGACAACUGUUGGAAACGACAGCUAAUACCGGAUAUUAUGAGAUUCUCGCAAUGAGAAACUUAUGAAAGCUAUAUGCGCCAAG
This 193-nucleotide ribosomal RNA is filed under the name uncultured bacterium. RNAcentral describes it as "partial 16S ribosomal RNA". It matches the Rfam family "Bacterial small subunit ribosomal RNA", at positions 28 to 222 of the family's 1533-position model. The record is from RNAcentral.